This 180-nucleotide ribosomal RNA is filed under the name uncultured Glomeromycotina. RNAcentral describes it as "partial small subunit ribosomal RNA". Lineage: Eukaryota; Fungi; Glomeromycota. The record is from RNAcentral.
AACCUGGUUGGGUGGUCUGCCUUCACGGUACGUACUGCUUGGCCGGGUUCUACCUCUUGGUGAGCCGGCAUGCCCUUCACUGGGUGUGUCGGGGAACCAGGACUUUUACCUUGAGAAAAUUAGAGUGUUUAAAGCAGGCUCACGCUUGAAUACAUUAGCAUGGAAUAACGAAAUAGGACG